RNAcentral lists this long non-coding RNA (203 nucleotides) under Musa acuminata (dwarf banana). Its description in RNAcentral is "long non-coding RNA (MACU_LNC005783)". Lineage: Eukaryota; Viridiplantae; Streptophyta; Magnoliopsida; Zingiberales; Musaceae. The record is from RNAcentral.
AGAAAUAAAAAUAAAUUCACCCCAUCUAUUUGUACCUAAAUAUUUUAAAAAAUAACUACUUUAAUUUUCUAUAUAUUUUUUAAAAAUUUUAAAAAUAUAAAAAGCCUUAGUUUUUUCUUUAAAAAAAAUACCCACAUCGUUCUUGUGUAAUUAUCUAUAAAUAAUAGAAAAUAUUUACUUCUAACAUGUGAGGUAGCCUGCAC